This 275-nucleotide ribosomal RNA is filed under the name uncultured bacterium. Its description in RNAcentral is "partial 16S ribosomal RNA". It matches the Rfam family "Bacterial small subunit ribosomal RNA", at positions 524 to 796 of the family's 1533-position model. The record is from RNAcentral.
UACGGAGGGGGCAAGCGUUGUUCGGAAUUACUGGGCGUAAAGCGCGCGUAGGCGGCGAUGCAAGUCAGAGGUGAAAUGCCCGGGCUCAACCUGGGAGGUGCCUUUGAUACUGUGUUGCUUGGAUCCAGGAGAGGUGAGCGGAAUUCCGAGUGUAGAGGUGAAAUUCGUAGAUAUUGGGAAGAACACCAGUGGCGAAGGCGGCUCACUGGUCCGUAACUGACGCUGAGGUGCGAAAAGCGUGGGGAGCAAACAGGAUUAGAUACCCCCCGUAGUCC